RNAcentral lists this ribosomal RNA (304 nucleotides) under uncultured cyanobacterium. RNAcentral's name for it is "bacterial SSU rRNA". It matches the Rfam family "Bacterial small subunit ribosomal RNA", at positions 33 to 339 of the family's 1533-position model. The record is from RNAcentral. Lineage: Bacteria; Bacillati; Cyanobacteriota.
ACGCUGGCGGCGUGCUUCAUACAUGCAAGUCGAACGAGAAUCUCUAGCUUGCUAGAGAGGAAAGUGGCGGACGGGUGAGUAAUAUGUAGAGAAUCUGCCCUUGAGUGGGGGACAACAGAGGGAAACUCCUGCUAAUACCCCAUAUGAGCUAAGCUGGAAUGCUUAUCUUGAAAACUCCGGUGCUCAAGGAUGAGUCUGCAUCUGAUUAGCUAGUUGGCGGUGUAAUGGACCACCAAGGCGACGAUGCGUAGCCGAGCUGAGAGGCUAAACGGCCACAUUGGGACUGAGACACGGCCCAGACUCC